Molecule: long non-coding RNA, 1134 nt
Organism: Branchiostoma floridae (Florida lancelet)
Lineage: Eukaryota; Metazoa; Chordata; Leptocardii; Amphioxiformes; Branchiostomatidae
Exons: 4
Source: RefSeq, a predicted model, not a curated record
UGGCAAAAUCGACACCAACAAACACAGAGGAAAAAGACAAAGAAAAGUCUAAAACUCAGCCUGUGAUCAUCGCGAAUGCCUGGACUGACAGCAAGGAACUCAAGAACACAAGACUAAAUACGCCAGUGAAGAAUGCAAGACAAAAUACUCCGGAGAAGAACACCCAAAAAGUGCCUAACAGCCGUGAGAGAAAAAGCCCCACAACUUCCCUUACGUCGGAGGACAGAAGGAGUAACAGUUAUUUUGAUGGAGUCGCUACAGAUACAGCUUCUGGGCGACGGUACCUGUACAACUCACUGACUGGACACAGAAAGUGGCUGAAACCCAACCAACCCAGCACGCUUUCGCCCAUUAUUAAUUAAUAGACGGCUUUAUCAAAUGUAAAAUAAUGUGUUUAGGAUAUGUACAAAUCCUAUGCAAUACCAACGUGUAAACAACAAAACUGUAUAUAUAAGAUGUACAAAAUAAUCUUAUAUUUUUAUAUUGCUGGCUUGAAAAAAGACAAUAAGGCCUGGAAAAUAGCCUUAGUAUUUUUAUCAUCCUGCUGUUAUUUCUAAAACACUGAUUCCAUGUUUGUGGUUUUUCAGACAUUUUUGUGACGUUCAUGAGCAAUAUAUGACAUUGUGAAACAAUGUUUUUUUUCACAUUUGCAACGGUUAGCCCUGGGGUUUUCGCUUUGGCCGACUAGUAUACUUUGUAACUUUGUAAACAAUACAGAAUGCUCAUAAAACUUACGCGAGAUAUGGAGGGGGGGUAUAACCGAACUAAAUAAAGAAUGAAGCGACAAUCAUUGUUGUUGUGUUUUUAAUUGUAUGGGCUCAUAUAAUGUUAACAAUAUCACGGUAUAUAAACAAUGUCAUGGUAAUAUUUAGCUUAUUACAUUGUAUUCUUGAUGCUGGCGUAUUUGAUGUGGAGUAUAUGACACACAAUGUGAUGUUUACACAAAUCUGACCUUCCAUGUGAUUGCCUGAUUGACGUUGUAGUAAAUGAUUUCUGUAAGGGAUGUCCUUGUAGCUCGACUAACUGGUAGCAGCAUCAUAGUUGACCUCCCAAUUCCAAUUCAUUGGUAACUGGGGGACUGGUUCAAAUCCCGGGAAGGGCAUUUUGGUUAGGGCUGCACUCUUUUUUCGGAGG